GGAAGUUGUGUCCUGGCUUUGUGCCCGGCUGCAGUGUUGUGUCCCUUGCCUUCGAUUGGAUGAAACCUACCCAGCACUCAGAACAGACCACAAAGACGCCAUGUUUGAUCUUUCACCGGCCAAUAGAAAGCUUCGACUGUUCAUCCUUCAUCUUCUUCAGCUCAGCUCUGCACGGUAUAACAUCACAAAUGUAGGAACUGGUUUCAUCAUCAUUGAGGUGUGAUGUGGAGAAGCAGAGUGGCUGGUAAUGAUUCCACCUCCAGCAGCAACAUGUUGAAGAUGAUUUUGAGCUUCGAGCUCAUCGCUGAAACACAAAACAGGAGACUUUCACUGACAGGAUGUGAGCGUGCUUCAGGACUCCAACCUGCAGGAGGAGCCUCACUCAACAGGUACACCAACAGAGCUCUUUACUAUGCUGUCAGAAGUCCAAACAUCCCAGCAUUUAGCAUCAUCGCCUGAUGAGCCAGAGUCCAAAACCGCUUAUUUAUAUCUGGGAAAUUAGCAAAGCUGUCAAACAAGAUUCAGAAGAAGAGCAACACAAACUUCUCUGCUGCACGUUCGACUGAGGGAGUGUCGAUAGGUUUGUUAGAGAGGAAUGAAACCUGUAAAUGAUCCACAAUACAACAACAGCUGCUGGGUGAAUGUCCCCUCACCUGGACUCUGUCUCACCUGGGUUCACCUCCUCCUCCAUGAACAUUGUCUGGAUGAACUCUCCUGCUGCUUCCAGAUUCUUUAGGCUCACCAGAGUCCAGUUUGAUGACCUGUGAGCUUGGAUCAAUACGAGGGUUUUUUCUGAUGGACACCAAGUACCAGAGUUCUGUUUCUCCUCUGAGUCUCAGUUUCACUGUCUCUCCAUCUGUCUCCACUGAGUC
Molecule: long non-coding RNA, 872 nt
Organism: Notolabrus celidotus (New Zealand spotty)
Lineage: Eukaryota; Metazoa; Chordata; Actinopteri; Labriformes; Labridae
Exons: 4
Source: RefSeq, a predicted model, not a curated record